Molecule: long non-coding RNA, 8707 nt
Organism: Heterocephalus glaber (naked mole-rat)
Lineage: Eukaryota; Metazoa; Chordata; Mammalia; Rodentia; Bathyergidae
Source: Ensembl
GUGAGCACUAAGCCCAGCCUCCCACCCUCCAGGCGGUGGGCGGGUUGGAGACCAGGACUGGGAAGUCCAGGGUGGGCGGGAGGGAGGUGGCCGGGUGGGGGGAAUGGGGAGCCGGAAUGGGGUUGUCGGGCUGGGGCGAGGGCAGGAGGCAAUUUAUGUGGAGACAGGUGUUCCGUUGAAGUUUCCACCCUGGGCUGCAAGGGAGCUCCAGAAUAAGCAGUUUAGGAGGCCGAAGGGACGCAGCAAGGCCCGCGGCCAAGGCUCACCCGGCCGCGCCGCCGCCUGCAGGGGUUGGCCGCCAGAGCUGCCUUGCAAGGGGACUCAGGUGCAGAGAGAGGAGAAACUGUGGAUGCCCUGGAAUGGGCUCAUUGUGAUUGGGAAGAAGAUAGAGCCCCUGGAAAGAAACACGCCAAAGCCUAGAAUGGGGGACCCGAAGCUUGAGCCUGAGGACUGGAGACCAGAGGGCGUGGGAAAGAUGGUGUUGAAAGAGAAAUUAGAAGUGAGUCAGGAGGAGAUAGAUGGGAAGGGACCGCAGAGCCCAGCAAGUCCAUCACAGGCUUCUCCAGAUCUGGGGAAAGAGGGCCCAGGGGAGAGUGAGGAAAAGCAAGAGGCCAGAGGGAAAACUGGGGCCGAAGCUAGUGCGGAGAUGAUAGCAGAGUCUAGAAGGGAGAUUAUGUCUGAAGAGAGGCCAGAGAUGACGGCAGAGACUAGGAGGGUGUGUGCGUCUGAAGAGAGGUUGGGGCCCACGGUCUUGAAAGAGAAGUCAGAAUUUAGUCAGAAAGAGAUAGACGAGAAGGAACUGCGCAGCGUAGGGAGUGCGUCACAGACCUCUGCAGAUAUGGGGAAAGACAGCCCAAGAGAAACUGAGGAAAAGCAAGAAGUCAGAGAGGAAACUGGGGCUGAAUCUGGUGUGGAGGUGAUAGAAGAAUCUAGGAGGGAAUCUGUGUCUGAAGAGAGGUUAGAGGUGAUAGAAGAAUCUGGGAAGGAAUCUGCAUCUGAAGAGAGGCUGGAGGUGACAGAGUCUAAGAGGGGAUCUGUGUCUGAAGAGAGGCUGGAGGUGACAGCAGAGUCUAGGAAGGAGUCUGAAGAGAGGUUGGGUUCUAUGGAGGACAAGGUAGGGACCAGUGGAGAGGAUAUGAGAUCCAGAGGGGAUCAACUGGGACAGGAUGAAGAGCUGAGAUCAAGUGGAGAGAGUCUGGAGUACAAAAGAGAGAAACGGAGGCCCACUGGAGAGAAGCGGGCACCCAUUAGAGAAAGGCGUAGGUCCAUUAUAGAGAAGCCUAUGUUCAGGGCAGAGAGGUGGGGGUCCACAUUAGAGAAGCCAAUAUUCAAGGGAGAGAGGCGGGGGUCCAUUUUAGAGAAACCGGUGCAUGGGGGAGAGAGGCGGGGGUCAGUUAUAGAGAAGCCAGUAUUCAGGACAGAGAGGCGGGGGUCCACUUUUGAGAAGCCCAUGUACAGGACAGAGAGGCAAGGCUCCACUUUUGAGAAGCCAGUAUUAAGGGGAGACAGGCAGAAAUCCAGUGCAGAUAAGUCAAAGAUGCAUCGAGAGAAACUAAGGCUCAACAGAGGAAAUUUGAGAACUGGUGAUAAAAUGGUGUCAGGUGUGGAGGAAUGGGGAUCUAGCGGGGAGAAUUUGGAGGACGGUUCAAGAAUGGAAAGUGUAAGUGAAGAGAACAUUGUAAGAAUACAAGAAGCUACUAGUGAUGAAAAAGUGAUAGAAGUUACCAAUGAGAAGAUGGAAAUUCCUUUUGAGAGUGUGGAAGAGAGAGAUGAAAAGCUAGAAGAGACUGAGGAAAGAGAAGUUGACGAAGAUGCCUUGCAUGAAACAGAAGAUAUUACUGGUGGAUCUAUUUCUAUGGGUGAGAAGGACAUGGUAGAUGAAAUAGAUGAAGAGCCCAGUGAAUAAGGCAGUUGAAAGAUUGAAGCCGAGAGAGUAUUGAAAAUAAAAGAGGAAAACUUAGAGUUAAGCACAAUGUUAUUGAUACUGAAGGGGUAAAAAGAGAGAAAAGGAGAAUCUGAGGCAAAAAGAAGAGUGGGAAUUGAAACAGUUACUGGGCAUGAAGCGGGGCCAUUACCAAGGAAAGCCAAGAAGAGAGGGAAAUGGAAGCGUUUUAAGAAGGAAGACAAGAUUGGGUAAUGAGUUUAUGGGUAAAGGAAAAUUGGAUAUGGGGUUCUUGAAAAGCUAUUUGAGAAGUGAACUACAGGUGGGCUAGAAGAAUUUCAUCUGAACAUGAUUGGGUGUACCAGAUGGAGAAGAAUGCCUAGUGAGGAAAAGCAGGAUGAGAACAGCGUAAAGGACAGAUAUUGAGGGCUUGAAGAAGAAGCAGGUUGAAGUGACCGAAAUACCUGAAAGUGGAUCCUGAAAAAUGACAGGCUUCAAAGUGACAGGAGAGGAAAUGAGCACAUUAAGAUGUGGGAGAAAAAAAAUCUCCCCAAACUCAGUUUCCUGGCUGCCAAAGCAAGCUCUGCACUUCUGCCUGGGGGUUGGGAUGAAGCUAUGAAACAACCCUUCCAUUCAUUCAGUGAAUGCUGUGGAAAAAGUGCUUCCACGAUUUCUGGAUGACAUUUUCACCUGGGAUAUCAGAUGCAUUCCAUCAAGGCCACAGAUGGACAAAUGAAGAUCAAGACAUGGUGACAAAUGCCAGCUACUUUGCUAGCGAACCUGAAAAGCCUUUUGCCCAGCAGAGGGCAGUCACAAACUUGGCUGGGAGAAGGAGACCUGCAGGCUCGCGCGGAUCGGCCCAGCAUGCACUCAGCGUCCAGCAGAGGGCGCGUCUCCAGGCUGGCAUGGAUCAGAAACGGAGGAGAAUAUUGAAGCAGCAUCCCAAAUAUUAGUUCUGAAAAACAAAUGGAUACGGAAGAACAAACGAGCACCUUGAGAUCCAACCAUGGCCCAAAGAGGCUGCAGAUGAGUUGCCACGCCCUGAGGUGCCUCUCGGGGAGCCCUGGAGGCUCUGACUGACUGGAGUCACAUGUCGGACAGGGUUGCUGACAGGGUGUUUGCUGUGCUCGUCAUCCUGGAUUGAACCCUGAGGUGCUCUACCACAUCCUGAGCUCUGUUUAUUUAAUUUUGAGACAUGGUCUCACUAAUUUGCCAGAUUGGGUUUGAACUUGUGAUCCUUCUGCCUCAGCGUCCUAAGCAGUUCCUGUCUGCAGGCCUGGGGUGGUGCCCAAGACCACAGAAGGAAUGCUCCCGACACAGUCACACAUGGUCCUGUUGGUUGGAGUUGGUCAUUCCUGACCUUGACAUCAACCAUCUUAAUCUCCAGAAAUAGGCUAAAUGCUAGUCCGGCCACUUGUGUCUCUUCAUCAUCUCCAGGGCGACUGCAUAUUUCCAGCCUCUGUGCUCCAGGAUCUAAUAAUAGGUGGGAUGAAAAGACUGUUUCCUCUGAUGCACUUUUAUGAGAUGUUUUCAAAGAGGAUGCGGUGGGGGAAUGGAUAAGCUGCUCGCUCAGUACAGUGAGGCGUCAGAAUGACGGGGCAGGGAAGCCCCACCUUCCCAGGGAGCUCUUGCUCAAGACAGCCCAGUUGUUAGAGGGCCAGGAAUCCGGGAACAUCAAGGCAGCCUCAGACCUUGUAACCUAGAUGUCAUUGUGCUUUUCAGGCAAUGAUGCCUGAUCACUGCAGGCAGAAGUGUGGCCAAAGGGCACCUAUGGGCCCGAAGCCCUUUCCACAGCAGCUCUGCUUGGGUAAUGGUGCUUCAUUAAGCCUGUGAUGUUUAGGGAUGUCAGACAUCUCCUUAACCCUGAAACACCUUUUGCUCGUGAGUGGUAAAGAGUUGGAUUUCUUAUCAGAAGAAUAUUUUAGCUAUGUGCCCUGGAGAGGAACUACUGUCCCCAUGAGGGGACAGCAAAGCCUCAAGGACAAAGGGAUUUCCUAGAGACAAUGUCAGGAAGGAGGGAGGUACAGAAGGGGACUCUGGAGUCAGCCUGGAAGUUGGGGUUGAGGGAACUCAUUAAAUCUGUUAAGAGGAGCCUAGAUGUUUUGAGCAAGAACAGGGCAGCACCAAAGCUGGGAGAGAUUGUGAAAAUGGUUCAGUGUUUCUGGAGUCUGGGAGGAGAAACUUAAUUAUGCUAUUUAAUUAAACCAAAAGGAAGGGAAUAGAAUAUUUGGUUGCCAAAAGGUGCUCUUAUAAAAAACUGUGGGCUGAGCUGCAGCACUGGGUACCAACAAAGGCAUGGGAGGCAGUGCAUCAGGAAGGACAGGCAGCAAGCUCCAUGGCUGCAGGUCAUCCUUGAUGUGUUUCUGCCAUCAGAAUUUGCCCUUGAUGUCGGGACUCUUCAUUUAUGCAUGUUUGUGCUGUUAAGAUUGUCUUCUGAGUCAUUUGAGAUUUUUAAGAAUAUGUUGCCAAAGUCAACAACCAACAGUUUAGGGUGGCCUGGUCCACCCAGGUCUGGUCCAGGAGGGUCAGGACCCUGCCUCACUCUCACCAUUUCCUGUGGCCCUUCCUCCCUACCAUCCACCACAUGGCACUCCUGGGCCACAGGUGGCUAUCAGCCUUUUGCCUUCCUCCUGCAAAGUUGGGCUCUUCACUUGGGGAGUGUGUGUAUACUCACACAUGUACAUGCUCGCUCACAAGUGUGUGUGCACACUCGCACACAUGCCCAAGUGGGUGGGGAGGAGAGAGUUCUGUUCCCUUGUGGUGAUUGCCACCAACCAAUCAGCUGGACUCUGAGCCGAGCCAAAGUGAAGCAAGAGCGACAUCGGGUGCCAAGAACAAGAGCUUGCUGUGAUAUCAGGUGUUUUCUGGCCUCAGUGUGUAGGAGCAGAGAGAAAGGCUUGGCUCAUUCCAGAGCCUUCACUCCUAGGGAGCAAGGAGUUUCUGGAUGGGGCUUCAUGUCAGUAUUCUGCUCUGCUCGUUUGCAUGAGGGAAUUAGACGCAGACUUGAGGCUUUGAAUGGAUUUUUAAAAUAAAAAUCAAGGCAAAGGUUUUGUUGGCUAGAACAUGACACAGGGACCCAGGUCAACAUUCUAACCCUGUACCUGCCUGCAGUGUCCUCUGGAGGAUAACUGUGCCGAUGUCUUUAGUGGACUACGUAAAAGUCUGACCUAGUUCACAGAGGUGGCGUGUUUGCUCUGGAGGCUGCUCCUGGGGCAGGCUUCCUGUAGCUAGAGUCAACCUCAUUUAGCCAGAGGUAGGGAGCUAAAAGGUAUUCCUGUGGAAUGGCUCCCUGAGAAGGGCUGGCCUGGCUUCCACAAAGAUGCUUUGGGGGACAGGAUGUCAUGGGCUACCUAAAGAGGAUCCCCCCAUGCAGGUGGGAAAGAAUAUGGUCAUGUUAUUUGCCAUUCAGCUGGUCCUUCUUCUUAGCUGGAGCCUGCUUGGCUUUUUCCUUCAUGGAAGAUAAGGCGGGGAAGAGGUUUGUUUGUCCAGAUGCCACCAGUCGGAUGACUAUUGCAGGCACAGGAGUGUCUCCAGGGCACAGUGCCAGGCCAGGUCCCACCUAAUGUCUCUAUUCCUCAUCCAGGAGUGCUGUAAUCAGCAGGUUGAUGCAAAACUGGGAAGGGUUGAGAAACCCCUUGGGCAGGAGAUUUCGAAAUGAGAUUCGGAUUAGAAGAAACAUAGUGGGUGGGGUUUUAAAGAUUGAAGGAGACAGGACAAACUCCCCUCCCAACACUGACACUCCGCUGGAUAGCGGGGAUACACAGAAGAGCCUAGAAUGGGGAGGCAGCAGCACAGGGCUGUGAGGCAGCAGAGAGUUCUGAGUGCUGUUUCCUGACCACCUAUCCCCACCCUUGACAAGGAGCCCUGUGUCUGUCCAUUCACCAGGCAAAACCACCCCUGCCACAGUGCUUUCUGUCUAGGGCAUGUCAGCACCAGCUAGGGGUAGAUAGAUAAAGCCAUGGAGAAGCGAGGGAGGAGGGUGCUGGCAGGAGUGGUAGGAGGAGAACUUGACUAUGUUGGACAAGGCAAAGAAGGGGUUAGUCCCCAGUACCGAAAGGAAAAAACAAACAAACAAACAAAAAACCCCAAGGGUGAACGAGCCUGUGACCCCAUAGCCUUUGUCCCCCCCAGUGGGAAGGGGCAGCUCCCUCCUUGGGUGGCCAGCAGCUGUCACACUGUCUGUGCCCCCUCACCACAUGAUCCUAUCUGAGGUUGGGCUCAGGACACCAGGCAUUGUGUGGCUCCUGGCAGAUGCCCACGAUAUGACGAACCCAGAGGAAGUUGCUGGCUGGAUCUGAAGCCAGAGACAGAGGUGGACUUGAGAAAAAGAAGGAAAUGGAGGAAGUAAGGGAGGAAGAGCGAUGCAAAGGAUCCCAAAAAAGGAAAAAAAGGAACUAAGAAGGAAAGGCAGGAGAAGUGGCAUUCUAGAAGGAGCAAAGAAGCAAGAAAAGAAGACAAAAAAGAGGAUUAUGUCUCAUUUGAAGGAAUUAAGAGUGGCAUAGUCAAGAAUGAGUCUCAGGCCUUAGAAAGCUUGUCAUGAUGAAUAAAUCAUUCCAUUCAGGUGGCUUGAUGAUGGUGGUACUCUUUGAAGAAGUCAGGACCAUACAGUGUAAAAGCCAAGAGUGGGGCUGUAAGAACUAGCUGACCAGCUCUAAACAAGAGGGGCUUAUGAUUCAUGCCCGUACAUACCUGCCUCGUGCAGGGUGGGGACCCAUCUAACCUGAAUCACUGCCCAGCCCCUCCCAGUCUCCUUAGAUGACAAGCUGUGGCAUCCUUGGUCCACCCAACUCACCCCCAAGCAUUUUUCCAGAACAGUAAACAAGUACAGGUGAGGAAGGUCACAGAUCUUUUGGUUUGGGGCCAUUUUCUCCUCCCUCUCAGUGCUCACCAUGUGACUAACCAGGGGUUUCUCAUCAGGGGCUUUUUAGUCUUUCUUCAAAGUGGUCAGAAGGUUGCCAGAUGCAUUCCUCUGAGCUCAAAGUUUAUUUCUGUAUUCUAUUAUGGACUGGGAAAUCCAAGGUUGCCUGAAACAUAUGGGAAAAUCGUCUCUCAUUUUUAGCAUGCCCAGUGUUUUCAACAGUUGAUGCAAAGUUGACCACAGCUGAUCACCUUUCUUGCCAAAAUUAAACCAGAGAUGAAUGUCAUUAACUAUUACCUCCAACAUUUGUUUAGAGGUUUAUACUUUCUAAGCAACUCAUUUUAUUUAAUCUCUGUAAUAAUCCUGCAUUACUGUUAUUCUGCAUUAUAGACAUUGAGUCUCAGAAAAGGUAAUUUUUUAUUAAUAAAUUUUAUUUUAUCCCAUUUCCCCCUCCUGCCCCCUCCCCUCGCUUUGUACAAAAGCUUUGUUUCCAUUUUUUUCCUUCUAUUUUCAUUUUUUUCAGAAAGGUAAUUUUUCCCCAGAGUCUAAAUUCCUUGGGUUCAAACAGUUCACCCUGAAUCAGGUAUAGUGGGGUACACCUGUAAUCUCAGCCCUCUGGGAGGGUGAAACAAGAGGAUCACAAGUUUGAGUCCAGCCUAGACAACUUACUGACCUAGUGAGAUCCUGUCUCAAAAUAAAAGAAUAAAAAAGGGUUGGGGGUGUAGCUUAGUAUAUAAGCCCUGGGUUUAAUCCCCAGUGCCACAAACAAAACAACACAACCAGGAUAUCCUCUGACGCAAAUCCUUGGUGCUUCCUAUACAAUGUUAUCAAACUCUUUAGAGUUCAGAGUGACAUCAAGGGCAGAUUCUGGUGAUCUUUCCUCAAUUUGUUCUCUCACUCUUCUUACCACCCAUUCACUUUCUGCCCUAUUUCUAUGACCAUCCAGUGGGAAAAGAGUACACUUCUCAGGGAAGAACAUCUACAUAAAGCAAAGGACUCUAACAUUUCCUUUGCCAAGGGCCCUUUCUUUCUCCAAAGUUUCUUUCAUGACAAAAGCAAUAGGAGAAUAUUGUAGAAAAAGUACAAAAUCUAGAAAAACAAGAAGAUAAUAAAAAUCAUCAUUCUGCCAUUGAGCAAUAACUUUAGUCUUCCAAACUCAGUGGUAUAUAGUCUUCUAUAACUUGUGUGAUAGAUAUAUGUAUGGAGUUACCUAAAUUUAUAAAAUUAUAAAAAUGGCAAAUUUUAAUAAAUGUUUUGCUUUAAAUUAAUUAAAAUGGCAAAUGUACCUACUCCAUAAUACUGUUUGGGGACUUGUUUUUUAAUUUAAUAUAUUGUAAAUAUUUUCCUGAACUAUUUUUAUAAAAUAUUUAUUUAGUUGACACAUAUAUCCUUGGAGAGGUCUUUUUUUUUUUUUUUUGGUACCAGGGAUUGAACUCAGGUCCUUGUGCUUGCGAGGCAGGUGGCAGAACCACUGAGCUAAAUCCCAGGGCCUGGAGAGGUCUUUUUGAGACAGGGCCUCACGGGCCAGGGAUUUAGCUCAGUGAUUAUGCUGCCUGUCUCGAAAGCGCAAGGACCUCAGUUCAAUCCCCGGUACCAAAAAAAAAAGUAUAAGAGACAGGGCCUCACUCUGUAGUCCAGAUCAGCCUGGAACUCACCAUGUGCCUCAGUGCUGUGAUUGUCAUGCUCAACUUCAUUAUGCAGAUAUUCCUCAUUGAAUGACCUGUUUACAGACUGUCCAGGCUUACAACCCACUGCUCAGACUUAUGGUUCAUCUCUUUUUUUUUGUACAGUUCUGCACAUCUUAUUUAUAGAGUCUCAAUGUCUUUUUUUGUAUAGUAUACCUUGCUUAUUACAGUACUGUAAUUUUUGCUGAUUGUACUGUAUAAUAUAGUGCUGUAGUUUUAUGUUCUGUUAUACAUUACAGUAUUGCCUGUAAGAGUUAUGCAAAUAAAAGCAAAGUCCUCAAA